Molecule: long non-coding RNA, 1179 nt
Organism: Pipra filicauda (Wire-tailed manakin)
Lineage: Eukaryota; Metazoa; Chordata; Aves; Passeriformes; Pipridae
Exons: 3
Source: RefSeq, a predicted model, not a curated record
CCGUACCGCCCUCAGCCCGACUACCCGAGGCCAAGCGCGGCCGGGGAAGGGGACCGCUCCCCGCCCACGCCCUGCUUUGAGCGGCCUCGCUCACUCCCUCUGCCCUCCCUCGGGGAAUGCCGCGGCGGCCGCGCCCUCCGCCCACGGCAGCCUCUCACCCCCCGCGGCGGGCGGUGGCGCCCCUCCGCCAGCCUUAGCGCCCCGCCCCUCCACCCGAAGCGCGUGCGCUCAUUGGCUGUGGGUGCUGUCACUCCGACUCUCUCCCACCAACCCAGGAGGCGGCCCGGCGGUGUUCCGCCUCUCCGCCGGGAGCGCGUUCGCUCAUUGGCUGUUGGAGCUGUCACUCCGCCUCGCCCCGCCGGCCCGAGGGCGGCUCGGGGGCGCCUCCCCGCGCACCUGCGGCAGGGCUGGGGUCGGCCGCGCCCUGCGCCGCUGAGGCACCGUGCGGUGCGCAGUCGGCGCGGUGCUCUGCAGUUUUUGCUUGAAUAUCAGUGCCCCAGGGCUUGAGGUCCGGCUCUGUGCGCUCUCUGCACGUACUGUGCCUGCCUUUCGCCUGUCCCCGCGAAACGGGAGACACAGACGGGAGGAGCCGGGAAUAACGGAAUGGAUGAGGCGGUCCUGAGGGACGCCUGGCACACAGAGAUGGCAGCAGCGCUCGGGUCGGAGUGAACACUCACAGCACCUAGCUUAUUUACGAGGAAGGUUUCCCAUAGCACAGGGAUAUUUUAAAUGAUUCUCUUUGGAGGAAGUGGUCUAUUUGUAUAGGAAGGUGAUUUUACUUCUAUGGAAAGGAGGAGCAAGUUACUACCCCUGAGGCCAACUGGUACUGUACAUAUCCAAAAGGAAGUGCCAGGACAGGAAGAGGCAUACAGCACUCAAUUCACAGAGCAGGACUUGCCAUACAAUUAACGAAAUGCCUAAAUGACAAAUGCAGUGCACUGAAACCUGCCAUGAGAGAAUUUCAAAGACAGUCACAAAAGACAAAGCAUUGAAGCUCCACUAAUUUGCAGGGAUUGGCCUGUCCCUGUUGCUGGCUGGAGCAGGGAGCCUGGAGCAUGGAGCAGCUGGAGCUGUGCCCAUGUGGUGUGAGCACAGCUGGCUCUUGGAUGUGUUCCGACCCUUUUGGCAACAGCUGAGAGGUGAUGUCCAUCCAAUAAAUGGGGUCCACUCUAAAAACGA